GACGUCAGAAGGCCACAGGGGGCUCAGACCGCCAGUACCGCUGGGAAAUCGAGUAACUACCAGUUUGUGUAGCUAGGCGGUGAAGACGCUCAAGCUCCGCGGAGAAUUUUGGAAACUUUCAGAGCCUUAAUCGUGGAGCUAUGUCUGGAAAGCAAGAACCAGAAUCGCCUAAAGUAGAGGCCAGUGGAAGAGGCCACCUGGAGUUAAAAGAUGAUAACACUCACAAGCAAGGGGAUGAUGGAUCUCUAUUGGCGUAAGUUAUGACAUCUUUUAUUCACAUUAAAAUUGCCAUCUUUGUGGUGACAGCAGAUCCAAUCAAA
This 320-nucleotide long non-coding RNA is filed under the name Chinchilla lanigera (long-tailed chinchilla). RNAcentral's name for it is "lncRNA (ENSCLAG00000026841.1)". The record is from RNAcentral. Lineage: Eukaryota; Metazoa; Chordata; Mammalia; Rodentia; Chinchillidae.